GGAGGCAGCAGUAGGGAAUCUUCCGCAAUGGACGAAAGUCUGACGGAGCAACGCCGCGUGAACGAAGAAGGCCUUCGGGUCGUAAAGUUCUGUUGUUAGGGAAGAACAAGUACCAGAGUAACUGCUGGUACCUUGACGGUACCUAACCAGAAAGCCACGGCUAACUACGUGCCAGCAGCCGCGGUAAUACGUAGGUGGCAAGCGUUGUCCGGAAUUAUUGGGCGUAAAGCGCGCGCAGGUGGUUCCUUAAGUCUGAUGUGAAAGCCCACGGCUCAACCGUGGAGGGUCAUUGGAAACUGGGGAACUUGAGUGCAGAAGAGGAAAGUGGAAUUCCAAGUGUAGCGGUGAAAUGCGUAGAGAUUUGGAGAACACCAGUGGCGAAGGCGACUUUCUGGUCUGUAACUGACACUGAGGCGCGAAAGCGUGGGGAGCAAACAGGAUUAGAUCCCCUGGUAGUCCACGCCGUAAACGAUGAGUGCUAAGUUUAGAGGUUUCCGCCCUUUAGUGCUGCAGCUAACGCAUUAAGCACUCCGCCUGGGGGAGUACGGCCGCAAGGCUGAAACUCAAAGGAAUUGACGGGGGGCCCGCACAAGCGGUGGAGCAUGUGGUUUAAUUCGAAGCAACGCGAAGAACCUUACCAGGUCUUGACAUCCUCUGACAACCCUAGAGAUAGGGCUUUCCCCUUCGGGGGACAGAGUGACAGGUGGUGCAUGGUUGUCGUCAGCUCGUGUCGUGAGAUGUUGGGUUAAGUCCCGCAACGAGCGCAACCCUUGAUCUUAGUUGCCAGCAUUCAGUUGGGCACUCUAAGGUGACUGCCGGUGACAAACCGGAGGAAGGUGGGGAUGACGUCAAAUCAUCAUGCCCCUUAUGACCUGGGCUACACACGUGCUACAAUGGAUGGUACAAAGGGCUGCAAACCUGCGAAGGUAAGCGAAUCCCAUAAAGCCAUUCUCAGUUCGGAUUGCAGGCUGCAACUCGCCUGCAUGAAGCCGGAAUCGCUAGUAAUCGCGGAUCAGCAUGCCGCGGUGAAUACGUUCCCGGGCCUUGUACACACCGCCCGUCACACCACGAGAGUUUGUAACACCCGAAGUCGGUGAGG
RNAcentral lists this ribosomal RNA (1099 nucleotides) under Bacillus sp. GBPI_CDB58. RNAcentral describes it as "bacterial SSU rRNA". It matches the Rfam family "Bacterial small subunit ribosomal RNA", at positions 344 to 1435 of the family's 1533-position model. The record is from RNAcentral. Lineage: Bacteria; Bacillati; Bacillota; Bacilli; Caryophanales; Bacillaceae.